Molecule: ribosomal RNA, 718 nt
Filed under: Alteribacter aurantiacus
Lineage: Bacteria; Bacillati; Bacillota; Bacilli; Caryophanales; Bacillaceae
Description: bacterial SSU rRNA
Rfam family: Bacterial small subunit ribosomal RNA
Source: RNAcentral
GACGAACGCUGGCGGCGUGCCUAAUACAUGCAAGUCGAGCGGACUGAUGGGGAGCUUGCUCCCCUGACGUCAGCGGCGGACGGGUGAGUAACACGUGGGCAACCUGCCUCACAGAUUGGGAUAACUCCGGGAAACCGGGGCUAAUACCGAAUAAUCAAAGGAACCGCAUGGUUCCCUUGUAAAAGUUGGGUUUUACCUAACACUGUGAGAUGGGCCCGCGGCGCAUUAGCUAGUUGGUGAGGUAGUGGCUCACCAAGGCGACGAUGCGUAGCCGACCUGAGAGGGUGAUCGGCCACACUGGGACUGAGACACGGCCCAGACUCCUACGGGAGGCAGCAGUAGGGAAUCAUCCGCAAUGGACGAAAGUCUGACGGUGCAACGCCGCGUGAGUGAUGACGGUCUUCGGAUUGUAAAGCUCUGUUGUUAGGGAAGAACAAGUGCCGUUCAAAUAGGGCGGCACCUUGACGGUACCUAACCAGAAAGCCCCGGCUAACUACGUGCCAGCAGCCGCGGUAAUACGUAGGGGGCAAGCGUUGUCCGGAAUUAUUGGGCGUAAAGCGNGNGCAGGCGGUUCCUUAAGUCUGAUGUGAAAGCCCACGGCUCAACCGUGGAGGGUCAUUGGAAACUGGGGAACUUGAGUGUAGGAGAGGAAAGUGGAAUUCCAAGUGUAGCGGUGAAAUGCGUAGAUAUUUGGAGGAACACCAGUGGCGAAGGCGAC